GCCAGACUCCUACGGGAGGCAGCAGUGGGGGAUAUUGGACAAUGGGGGAAACCCUGAUCCAGCGACGCCGCGUGAGUGAAGAAGUAUUUCGGUAUGUAAAGCUCUGUCAGCAGGGAAGAAAGAAAUGACGGUACCUGACCAAGAAGCCCCGGCUAACUACGUGCCAGCAGCCGCGGUAAUACGUAGGGAGCAAGCGUUGUCCGGAAUUACUGGGCGUAAAGGGCGCGUAGGUGGGCGCUUAAGUCAGGUGUGAAAACUCCGGGCUCAACCUGGAGACUGCACUUGAAACUGGGUGUCUUGAGGGCAGGAGAGGAAAGUGGAAUUCCUAGUGUAGCGGUGAAAUGCGUAGAUAUUAGGAGGAACACCAGUGGCGAAGGCGGCUUACUGGACUGUAACUGACGUUGAGGCUCGAAAGCGUGGGGAGCAAACAGGAUUAGAUACCCUGGUACGA
Molecule: ribosomal RNA, 451 nt
Filed under: uncultured bacterium
Lineage: Bacteria
Description: bacterial SSU rRNA
Rfam family: Bacterial small subunit ribosomal RNA
Source: RNAcentral